CAGGGCGAAUGACGCUAAUGACGCUUAAUUGUUAGAGACAAUAAAAAUAAUUAAAUUACUUAUUCAAAAUGAUUUCUCAAACUUUUAGGAGUGCAUUUCGUUUCCUAAAAAGUCAUCGAACUCGAAUAUUAUGUAUGCACAUUCGACAAUUAUCAUUUGAAACGCUUCGUUUUAGAAAGCCAAUUUUUUUUACACCUGGAUUAUCAUUAGGUUUAUGGGGUUUUGCCAAGAAAGAUGGUUCAAGUAAUGAUUUACGAAUUGAAAAAGCUGGUAUCAUAGCUAAAGCUGAUGCUCUCUAUGAAAAUGGUGAAUAUCAGAAACUGUAUGGAAUCCUAAAUAAUUAUAGAAAUAGUCAUGAUGAUGAAAUAUUAUGGAGGUUAAGUCGAGCUGUAUACAGUUUGGCUAAAACAGCUAGUGAUUCUGAAGCUAAAAAAAUGUUCAAUGAUGCUUAUGAUAUAAUUACUGAAGCUUUAUCUAUCAAUCCUAACAAUUGGGCUGUACACAAGUGGAUGGCGGUUAUAAUUGACAAGAAAUCAAGUUAUGAUGGUAUGAAAGCAAGAAUCAAAGAAUUAAAUCGCGUCAAGGAGCACAUGCUGAAAGCAUCUGAAUUAAAUCCUAAUGAUGCUACUGUACUUUAUAUGCUAGGGCAUUGGUGCUAUUCAGUGUCUGAUCUUGCUUGGUAUCAACGAAAAAUAGCUUCUACAAUUUUUGGCAAAGUUCCUGAUUCAUCGUUUGAAGAAGCUCUGCAAUAUUUUAAAGCUGCUGAAAAAGUAGAACCCAUGUUCUACGGUGAUAAUCUUCUGUUCCUGGGAAAAACGUAUUUGAAGCUGAAUCAAAAAGAUGAAGCAAUUAAAUAUUUGAAGAUGGCUGCUGAGUAUCCAGCCAAGAAUGAUGAUGAUCACAAGGCUAAACAGGAGGCAACGAAGAUUCUAGGAACUUUACAUUAAUUGAAGGAAGGGUUGGAGAAAAAAAAAAAAUAUUAAGUGAACGUGGCCUUGCCGAUGGAACAGAAGAAAACUAUGCAGUGGAUAAAGCUCUGGUGCUGAAUGUCGCAUACAACAUAAAUUGGCUCUGCAUUGCGACAUACCGAGGACGAAACAGAUACUUAUCUUGUGGAGUCUUAUAAAUCAGGAAAUGAUUUUGAACAGAGUUGAUUUAGACUUUAGCAUGAGAUAAAAGUUAAAAGUGUUGCUUCUAAUAUGGAGAUUCUUAGGAAGGAUAAUGUCAUCGACUUUACAUUAAUGUUUUGUCUUAUCAAUUUUUAAAAAUUCUCUCUACACACAGAGGUCUUAUCCGUUUCAAAUAACUGGAUUGGCCCACACUUGGUGUGUCGAUACACCUACCUGUAACUCCUUCCAGGGAAUCAAUAAGUGCGUGUGUUCCAAUAGAUAUUUUUUUUUUUUAAUUUAUUUUCUAUCUUUCAUGGGCUAUCUAAGACCUCUUUUGAAUUGACUCU
This 1456-nucleotide unclassified non-coding RNA is filed under the name Chelonus insularis. RNAcentral describes it as "regulator of microtubule dynamics protein 1-like, transcript variant X1". The record is from RNAcentral. Lineage: Eukaryota; Metazoa; Arthropoda; Insecta; Hymenoptera; Braconidae.